AAAUUGAAGAGUUUGAUCAUGGCUCAGAUUGAACGCUGGCGGCAGGCCUAACACAUGCAAGUCGAACGGUAACAGGAAGCAGCUUGCUGCUUUGCUGACGAGUGGCGGACGGGUGAGUAAUGUCUGGGAAACUGCCUGAUGGAGGGGGAUAACUACUGGAAACGGUGGCUAAUACCGCAUAACGUCGCAAGACCAAAGAGGGGGACCUUCGGGCCUCUUGCCAUCAGAUGUGCCCAGAUGGGAUUAGCUUGUUGGUGAGGUAACGGCUCACCAAGGCGACGAUCCCUAGCUGGUCUGAGAGGAUGACCAGCCACACUGGAACUGAGACACGGUCCAGACUCCUACGGGAGGCAGCAGUGGGGAAUAUUGCACAAUGGGCGCAAGCCUGAUGCAGCCAUGCCGCGUGUAUGAAGAAGGCCUUCGGGUUGUAAAGUACUUUCAGCGGGGAGGAAGGUGUUGUGGUUAAUAACCACAGCAAUUGACGUUACCCGCAGAAGAAGCACCGGCUAACUCCGUGCCAGCAGCCGCGGUAAUACGGAGGGUGCAAGCGUUAAUCGGAAUUACUGGGCGUAAAGCGCACGCAGGCGGUCUGUCAAGUCGGAUGUGAAAUCCCCGGGCUCAACCUGGGAACUGCAUUCGAAACUGGCAGGCUUGAGUCUUGUAGAGGGGGGUAGAAUUCCAGGUGUAGCGGUGAAAUGCGUAGAGAUCUGGAGGAAUACCGGUGGCGAAGGCGGCCCCCUGGACAAAGACUGACGCUCAGGUGCGAAAGCGUGGGGAGCAAACAGGAUUAGAUACCCUGGUAGUCCACGCCGUAAACGAUGUCUACUUGGAGGUUGUGCCCUUGAGGCGUGGCUUCCGGAGCUAACGCGUUAAGUAGACCGCCUGGGGAGUACGGCCGCAAGGUUAAAACUCAAAUGAAUUGACGGGGGCCCGCACAAGCGGUGGAGCAUGUGGUUUAAUUCGAUGCAACGCGAAGAACCUUACCUGGUCUUGACAUCCACAGAACUUUCCAGAGAUGGACUGGUGCCUUCGGGAACUGUGAGACAGGUGCUGCAUGGCUGUCGUCAGCUCGUGUUGUGAAAUGUUGGGUUAAGUCCCGCAACGAGCGCAACCCUUAUCCUUUGUUGCCAGCGGUCCGGCCGGGAACUCAAAGGAGACUGCCAGUGAUAAACUGGAGGAAGGUGGGGAUGACGUCAAGUCAUCAUGGCCCUUACGACCAGGGCUACACACGUGCUACAAUGGCGCAUACAAAGAGAAGCGACCUCGCGAGAGCAAGCGGACCUCAUAAAGUGCGUCGUAGUCCGGAUUGGAGUCUGCAACUCGACUCCAUGAAGUCGGAAUCGCUAGUAAUCGUGGAUCAGAAUGCCACGGUGAAUACGUUCCCGGGCCUUGUACACACCGCCCGUCACACCAUGGGAGUGGGUUGCAAAAGAAGUAGGUAGCUUAACCUUCGGGAGGGCGCUUACCACUUUGUGAUUCAUGACUGGGGUGAAGUCGUAACAAGGUAACCGUAGGGGAACCUGCGGUUGGAUCACCUCCUUACCUUCAAGAAGC
RNAcentral lists this ribosomal RNA (1554 nucleotides) under Salmonella sp. zj-f75. RNAcentral's name for it is "bacterial SSU rRNA". It matches the Rfam family "Bacterial small subunit ribosomal RNA". Lineage: Bacteria; Pseudomonadati; Pseudomonadota; Gammaproteobacteria; Enterobacterales; Enterobacteriaceae. The record is from RNAcentral.